CGCUGGCGGCGUGCCUAACACAUGCAAGUCGAACGGGGUAUUAUUUCGGUAGAUACCUAGUGGCGAACGGGUGAGUAACGCGUGAGCAACCUGACCUUUUGAGGGGGAUAACAACCGGAAACGGUUGCUAAUACCGCAUAAGACCACACUGUCGCAUGGCAGAGGGGUCAAAGGAGAAAUCCGCAGAAGGAGGGGCUCGCGUCCCAUUAGAUAGUUGGUGAGGUAACGGCUCACCAAGUCAGCGAUGGGUAGCCGAGCUGAGAGGCUGAUCGGCCACACUGGAACUGAGACACGGUCCAGACUCCUACGGGAGGCAGCAGUGGGGAAUAUUGGGCAAAUGGGGGAAACCCUGACCCAGCAACGCCGCGUGAGGGAAGAAGGCUUUCGGGUUGUAAACCUCUGUCGCAGGGGACGAAACAAAUGACGGUACCCUGUGAGGAAGCCCCGGCUAACUACGUGCCAGCCGCUGC
Molecule: ribosomal RNA, 470 nt
Filed under: uncultured bacterium
Lineage: Bacteria
Description: bacterial SSU rRNA
Rfam family: Bacterial small subunit ribosomal RNA
Source: RNAcentral